CUAUUUUAUACGUGGGACACCCACACAACAUGGCUUGAUAAGCGGUGUGCAGGUCCGCGCCAGGGAUCCGAACCGGCGAACUCCAGACUGCUGAAGUGGAGUGUGAACUUAACCACUGAGCCACUGGGCCAGCCUCAAAUUUAUUUUUAACUAUGUGUUGAACAAGAGGAAGAAGAGCAAGCCUGGCCUUUCUGGAUAAGGGAUGUGUAGCAGUUGGAUCCAAUCACUACCCACAGCCUCUUCACCAGGCGUAGAUUCCAUGCCAGGAAAUCACAUUCUGAGAGGUGACAUCAGCGACAUGGCAGAGUGAGCUCACCUGGGACCUCUCUCCCCUCCAAACUACAACCAAAAGGACCAACUGCUUUUCAAGCAAAAAAUCCUAAUAACAGAAACUGUCAGAGACCCACAGCAGCUGAACAAUGGAGGGCAGAGAGGCUGGAACUGCCCUUGGAGGAGCUGGAACAGGGUUCCACCACAUCUGCAGUUACUUCCUCCACUGAAGUCUUGAGCUCUUCAAAGUCAUCCAUGAGGGUUGGAAUCAACUUCUUCCAAACUCUUGUUAAUGUUGAUAUUUUGACCUCUUCCCAUGAAUCACAAAUGUUGAAUGCUGUCUACAAUGGUGAAUCCUUUCCAGAAGAUUUUCAAUUUAUUUUGCCCAGAUGUAUCAGAG
RNAcentral lists this long non-coding RNA (670 nucleotides) under Equus caballus (horse). RNAcentral's name for it is "lncRNA (ENSECAG00000051232.1)". Lineage: Eukaryota; Metazoa; Chordata; Mammalia; Perissodactyla; Equidae. The record is from RNAcentral.